RNAcentral lists this ribosomal RNA (502 nucleotides) under uncultured bacterium. RNAcentral's name for it is "bacterial SSU rRNA". It matches the Rfam family "Bacterial small subunit ribosomal RNA", at positions 24 to 518 of the family's 1533-position model. The record is from RNAcentral.
UCAGGAUGAACGCUAGCGACAGGCUUAACACAUGCAAGUCGAGGGGCAGCAUAAAAGUAGCAAUACUUGGUGGCGACCGGCGCACGGGUGAGUAACGCGUAUGCAACCUACCUAUCAGAGGGGAAUAACCCGGCGAAAGUCGGACCAAUACCGCAUAAAACAGGGGCACCGCAUGGUGAUAUUUGUUAAAGAAAUUCGCUGAUAGAUGGGCAUGCGUUCCAUUAGGUAGUUGGUGAGGUAACGGCUCACCAAGCCGACGAUGGAUAGGGGAACUGAGAGGUUGGUCCCCCACACUGGUACUGAGACACGGACCAGACUCCUACGGGAGGCAGCAGUGAGGAAUAUUGGUCAAUGGGCGGGAGCCUGAACCAGCCAAGUCGCGUGAAAGGAAGAAGGAUCUAUGGUUCGUAAACUUCUUUUGCAGGGGAAUAAAGUGCAGGACGUGUCCUGUUUUGUAUGUACCCUGAGAAUAAGGAUCGGCUAACUCCGUGCCAGCCGCUGC